GACCAACGCUGGCGGCGUGCUUAACACAUGCAAGUCGAACGGAAAGGCCCUGCUUUUGUGGGGUGCUCGAGUGGCGAACGGGUGAGUAACACGUGAGUAACCUGCCCUUGACUUUGGGAUAACUUCAGGAAACUGUGGCUAAUACCGGAUAGGAGCUCCUGCUGCAUGGUGGGGGUUGGAAAGUUUCGGCGGUUGGGGAUGGACUCGCGGCUUAUCAGCUUGUUGGUGGGGUAGUGGCUUACCAAGGCUUUGACGGGUAGCCGGCCUGAGAGGGUGACCGGCCACAUUGGGACUGAGAUACGGCCCAGACUCCUACGGGAGGCAGCAGUGGGGAAUAUUGCACAAUGGGCGGAAGCCUGAUGCAGCAACGCCGCGUGCGGGAUGACGGCCUUCGGGUUGUAAACCGCUUUCGCCUGUGACGAAGCGUGAGUGACGGUAAUGGGUAAAGAAGCACCGGCUAACUACGUG
RNAcentral lists this ribosomal RNA (468 nucleotides) under uncultured bacterium. RNAcentral describes it as "partial 16S ribosomal RNA". It matches the Rfam family "Bacterial small subunit ribosomal RNA", at positions 28 to 507 of the family's 1533-position model. The record is from RNAcentral.